Molecule: ribosomal RNA, 607 nt
Filed under: Mycetosoritis hartmanni symbiont OC29
Lineage: Eukaryota; Fungi; Basidiomycota; Agaricomycetes; Agaricales; Agaricaceae
Description: eukaryotic LSU rRNA
Rfam family: Eukaryotic large subunit ribosomal RNA
Source: RNAcentral
GGAGGAAAAGAACUAACAAGGAUUCCCCUAGUAACUGCGAGUGAAGCGGGAAAAGCUCAAAUUUAAAAUCUGGCAGUCACUGGCUGUCCGAGUUGUAAUCUAGAGAAGUGCUACCCGCGCUGGACUGUGUACAAGUCUCCUGGGAUGGAGCGUCAUAGAGGGUGAGAAUCCCGUCUCUGACACAGACUACCAGGGCUUUGUGGUAUGCUCUCAAAGAGUCGAGUUGUUUGGGAAUGCAGCUCAAAAUGGGUGGUAAAUUCCAUCUAAAGCUAAAUAUUGGCGAGAGACCGAUAGCGAACAAGUACCGUGAGGGAAAGAUGAAAAGAACUUUGGAAAGAGAGUUAAACAGUACGUGAAAUUGCUGAAAGGGAAACACUUGAAGUCAGUCACGUUGGCCAGGGAUCAGCCUCACUUCUUUGUGUGGUGUACUUCCUGGCUGAUGGGUCAGCAUCAAUUUUGACCGCUGGAAAAAGGCUUGAGGAAUGUGGCAGCUCUGGCUGUGUUAUAGCUUCUUGUCACAUACAGCGGUUGGGAUUGAGGAACUCAGCACGCCACAAGGCCGGGUUUCGACCACGUUCGUGCUAAGGAUGCUGGCAUAAUGGCUUUA